Long non-coding RNA from Astyanax mexicanus (Mexican tetra), 867 nucleotides. RefSeq lists it as uncharacterized. Lineage: Eukaryota; Metazoa; Chordata; Actinopteri; Characiformes; Acestrorhamphidae. The transcript is spliced from 2 exons. The record is from RefSeq and is a predicted model, not a curated record.
CGGAGGUUCUCAGGUCAACAACUACACUACCCAGAAUGCACCACCUGCUGACAUCACGCACUCACCUGAUCACGUGACACCUCACCUGCUUCCUCCAGGAAGUCCCGAAUACUGAUUACUGGCACUAUAAAGGUGCACGCCACACAAACACCCACGCCGCAUAUUGUAGGUUCUCCUCAUUACAAAGCGUUCUUUAUCUCUUGUCUUCAGUUUAUCUUGUGUAUGACCUUGCUUUUUUUUUUCUUGACGCCGAUUAUUGCCUUUGCCUCUGAUACUGGAUUGUUUGUGUAUUACCUGGACUGUGUUUUCACUACUGCCUCUUGGAUUACCUCUGACAUUGGAUCUCUCGUGUAUGAACUCUGGACUGUCUCUCGUUUAUGGUCUGGGUUGUGUCGAUGCAAGGCAUCUCAACGCAGUUCUCCAGACGACCACUCUGUCCGCAGGUGCACACCUCGUAACAGCCUGCUUGACCGCUGCGCACAGGGACUUGGAUUCGCGCCUCCAUAUGCACCAGGAACUCCGACGCCUCACCCAGUUUGCAGCCUACCACAAGAGAGAUUUACCAUUAAAACCAAAAUAUACAAAUAUUUGUAUGGAUCAUGGAUCAACUCCAAAUUAUAUGUGUUAUACACAGAAAAAUGGGUACUUUAAAUUUACAUGAUUAAAAUGUGUUACACACAUAAAACAUUACAUCAGUAUCAUUUAUUAGGAGUGCUGUUCACAUUUUUCCUUUUUCUGACUGCUGUCACACCUAGCCACCCUUCCACGGUUCAGAGAUCACCCUCCCCCGACUGUUAAGGCUAACUUCACCCUCACUCACACCUGACCUGGAUCUUUUCUUAAUAAAUGGCUCUAUAUUCACCUGGA